GAGUUUGAUCAUGGCUCAGGAUGAACGCUGGCGGCGUGCCUAAUACAUGCAAGUCGAGCGAACAGACGAGGAGCUUGCUCCUCUGACGUUAGCGGCGGACGGGUGAGUAACACGUGGAUAACCUACCUAUAAGACUGGGAUAACUUCGGGAAACCGGAGCUAAUACCGGAUAAUAUAUUGAACCGCAUGGUUCAAUAGUGAAAGACGGUUUUGCUGUCACUUAUAGAUGGAUCCGCGCCGCAUUAGCUAGUUGGUAAAGUAACGGCUUACCAAGGCAACGAUGCGUAGCCGACCUGAGAGGGUGAUCGGCCACACUGGAACUGAGACACGGUCCAGACUCCUACGGGAGGCAGCAGUAGGGAAUCUUCCGCAAUGGGCGAAAGCCUGACGGAGCAACGCCGCGUGAGUGAUGAAGGUCUUCGGAUCGUAAAACUCUGUUAUUAGGAAGAACAAAUGUGUAAGUAACUAUGCACGUC
Molecule: ribosomal RNA, 476 nt
Filed under: uncultured microorganism
Description: bacterial SSU rRNA
Rfam family: Bacterial small subunit ribosomal RNA
Source: RNAcentral